GUGCUGGCUUCGGCAGCACAUAUACUAAAAUUGGAACUACAAAGAAUUAGUACAUCCCCUGCACAAGGAUGAGACGCAAAUUUGUGAAGCAUUCUACAUAUAC
Small nuclear RNA from Nomascus leucogenys (northern white-cheeked gibbon), 103 nucleotides. Lineage: Eukaryota; Metazoa; Chordata; Mammalia; Primates; Hylobatidae. The record is from Ensembl.